Molecule: ribosomal RNA, 434 nt
Filed under: uncultured Lachnospiraceae bacterium
Lineage: Bacteria; Bacillati; Bacillota; Clostridia; Lachnospirales; Lachnospiraceae
Description: partial 16S ribosomal RNA
Rfam family: Bacterial small subunit ribosomal RNA
Source: RNAcentral
ACGGGAGGCAGCAGUGGGGAAUAUUGGACAAUGGGCGAAAGCCUGAUCCAGCGACGCCGCGUGAGUGAAGAAGUAUUUCGGUAUGUAAAGCUCUAUCAGCAGGGAAGAUAAUGACGGUACCUGACUAAGAAGCCCCGGCUAACUACGUGCCAGCAGCCGCGGUAAUACGUAGGGGGCAAGCGUUAUCCGGAUUUACUGGGUGUAAAGGGAGCGUAGACGGUAUGGCAAGUCUGAUGUGAAAACCCAGGGCUCAACCCUGGGACUGCAUUGGAAACUGUCAAACUAGAGUGCAGGAGAGGUAAGUGGAAUUCCUAGUGUAGCGGUGAAAUGCGUAGAUAUUAGGAGGAACACCAGUGGCGAAGGCGGCUUUCUGGACUGUAACUGACACUGAGGCACGAAAGCGUGGGGAGCAAACAGGAUUAGAUACCCUGGUA